CUGGGGCUCGGGGGACGCUCGGGGGGUUUAUAGGGGACCAUGGACUUCCGGCAACAGGUGCAGGGAGCAGGUUUCCGGGGCUGGAAAGAAGUGACGUCGCUGUUUAACAAAGAUGAUGAGCAGCACCUGCUGGAGAAGUGCCAGCCCCCCAAGAUGAGAGAAGCGAGCCUGCGGCUGAAGGAGGAGCUGAAGGCGGCGCAGAAGCAGCAGGCGCGAGGGGCCCCCGCGAAGCUGAGCGCGCCGCC
This is an RNA transcript of Talpa occidentalis (Iberian mole), 245 nucleotides long. RefSeq lists it as uncharacterized. NCBI's taxonomy places the organism in Eukaryota, Metazoa, Chordata, Mammalia, Eulipotyphla, Talpidae. The record is from RefSeq and is a predicted model, not a curated record. The transcript has 3 exons.